This 106-nucleotide small nuclear RNA is filed under the name Piliocolobus tephrosceles (Ugandan red Colobus). The record is from RNAcentral. Lineage: Eukaryota; Metazoa; Chordata; Mammalia; Primates; Cercopithecidae.
GUUUGCUUCUACAGCACAUACACUAAAAAAAAUUGGAAUGAUACAGAGAUUAGUGUGGUCCUGGCAUAAGGAUAACACGCAGAUUUACCAAACAUUCCAUAUAAAA